AGAUAAAUGCAGCCAAAUAUUCCAAAGAAAAAAAAAAGGAAAAAAAGUGAUGAAGGAGAAUGAAAGAAUCAAAGAUGGCAGCUUUCAUGGAUCUCUUUUCUGGAAACCGAUGGAGGAUUUUUGGGGACAGUGAUCAGAGUGGUGAAAUAAAUAAAUAGGGGAAGCAAUGCCAUUGAUAGCCCAAUUUGACUCAAUCUUCUCCGAAGCACUGUAACAAAGAACGAACCCUAUUCCAAUUCUCGGAGACGACGACAACGACCCUGUCUCUGUCAUUUGGGCAAUACCAAAUGUGAGUCCUAAAUCGAAGACCUACUACGGAGAUUGAGCUUUUUUAUUGCCCUCUCCCAUCUCCCCAUCGAUUCGAUUCAUUUGCCUUUCGUUCGAGACGCAUCCAUGGCUGACGAAUCGCAACAACCCCAAUCUGAAUCUCAACCUCCUCCGCUCGAAGUCGAUUCUGCACCUCCGCCACUGCCUCCGCCUUCGUUCGAUCCCAGUCGAAUGAUUGGUAUCAUUAAACGAAAGGCCUUGAUAAAAGAACUAGCUGCUGCGUAUCAUGCUGAGUGUCUUGUAUACUGCCAAGAGCUUCUUGAGCUACAAAGAAAGUGGGACGAGCCAUAUAUCGAGUUAAAAGCACCUGAUGAUCCAAGAAAGGAAACAAUGAAACCUAGCAAACGUCAACGGAAAUCCCGCUAG
This is a long non-coding RNA of Cucurbita maxima (winter squash), 693 nucleotides long. RefSeq lists it as uncharacterized. Lineage: Eukaryota; Viridiplantae; Streptophyta; Magnoliopsida; Cucurbitales; Cucurbitaceae. The record is from RefSeq and is a predicted model, not a curated record. The transcript has 3 exons.